Salmo salar (Atlantic salmon) is the source of this 1610-nucleotide non-coding RNA. Lineage: Eukaryota; Metazoa; Chordata; Actinopteri; Salmoniformes; Salmonidae. The record is from RefSeq and is a predicted model, not a curated record.
UGUGGCCCACAUCCUGAACUACGUCGGGACCCAGGUGACGGCUCGUUGGUGUACAGCAGCGUGUCUCCUACCCCACCGUGCUGCACGAGUACAGCGCCUCCUCUCGCUGGGAGGACGCACUGCGCCUCUGCCGCUUUGCCAAGGACUAGUUGCUGUGGGCGUGUCUCGCUGGCAUGGCAAUGGCCAAUAGGGAGAUGACGACAGUGGAGGUGGCCUACGCUGCCAUUGGAGAGGGUGUUGGAGCUGGCAGUAAAACAUAAGACCCAUGUGGACACAGUGCUGGCCUACAGACUCCAAGUUCUUGCAGGACUUUAGAGACCAACAAGAGGUUCAUGCAGUACGUUGACAGGGUAGAGAUGAACUGGGAAAAGAUCCAGGCGAAGGUUAAGGAGAGAGAGAAGGCUGCCAUCACCUCUGUCAGGAGCAGCUUGGCCUCUUGAUGCUGACCCUUGACCCCACACCUCUGACCUCAUCCAGGGACCAAAUGUACAUCAUAUUUUCAAGUGGUCAUUUAUCAAACAUGACGCAGACCAGAAGACAUUCAAGCAGAACUUUGAGAGCAAGCAUCCCAAGUCUCCAAUUGUCCCAAUACUGGUUGAUGUGCAGGCCUAAGUGACCACACACUGAAAUGGACCUACAGCUUGGACACACGAUGACCACGGUUUGAAUGCUGCAACUGAGACGGAAUGAGGGACACACAGAGAACAUGUGUAUGACUGGAUAUUUGUGACAACGACCUAAAGGGGCUGCAGAAGCACACCAGCCCCCAUUUUAUGUUUAUUCCACAGCCAUCCAUCCCUCUACCUACCCCUUAUUCCACACUGCCUUUCAUGCCCCAUGGUCCCUCAACUUCAGACACUUUGGAUCUCUCCAUCCUAUCUCUAUAAACCCACCCUAACUUCACCCAUUUUUUCUAUGCUACUUCCUACAUUGGUUCUUCUGCUGAUUUGAUAACGUCUAGACUAAGUUACAAAGUGUUGUGGUGCACUGUUUUUGUAACUUUUUUUUCACCAGUGUAAUACUGUCCUGCUUAUUUUGUGGUUCAGACUGAAUGCAGUGGUAAAUGUUCUGCUCACAGCUGACAUCAGCAAUAUGGGCCUGUUACAUUGACCAGAAGGGUGUUGAUAUAGCUGCGUUCAGGCAUGGCUUCCUUGUUUUGAGUAAGUUAAGUGUGUUUCUUAUUCUGCUGGAGGUGAGCUAUUAUUUUAUAUUAAACCUACCUUACAUAUCCAGUUGUUUCUCCAUUUGUAACUCACCCACCAAAAAUCACAAUAUUCUGUUUUACAUGUUGUGUUAUUUGUGCUGGUUUAAUUCCUAAAAUGGAAAAUCAGAAGAACAUGUGUGCUCUCUGAUAGUAAUAGAAGUUCAUAUGGUGAUCUUCGAUGUCCCAGGUUUGUAGCAUUGAUUAAUACAUCAUUUAAUCUUUACUUCAAGUCAGAUGUUUAUAUGUUAUGUAUUAUAGGCAUAUGUAUGCAUUGUUUAGUAUUUUUGUUUAUUUAAAACAAUGUCAUUGUUGGAGUUCAGGUGUUUGAUGUGAUUGAUGGGUGACUAGAUGCAUUCCUAUCAAAUAAAUAUGCUUAUUCAUGAUUAUGGAUACAUUCUGCAAUGAA